GACGAACGCUGGCGGCGUGCUUAACACAUGCAAGUCGUACGGUAAGGCCCAUUCGGGGGUACACGAGUGGCGAACGGGUGAGUAACACGUGAGUAACCUGCCCACAACUUUGGGAUAACGCUAGGAAACUGGUGCUAAUACUGGAUAUGUGCUCCUGCUGCAUGGUGGGGGUUGGAAAGCUCCGGCGGUUGUGGAUGGACUCGCGGCCUAUCAGCUUGUUGGUGGGGUAGUGGCCUACCAAGGCGGCGACGGGUAGCCGGCCUGAGAGGGUGACCGGCCACAUUGGGACUGAGAUACGGCCCAGACUCCUACGGGAGGCAGCAGUGGGGAAUAUUGCACAAUGGGCGCAAGCCUGAUGCAGCAACGCCGCGUGCGGGAUGACGGCCUUCGGGUUGUAAACCGCUUUCAGCAGGGACGAAGCUUUUUGUGACGGUACCUGCAGAAGAAGCACCGGCUAACUACGUG
This 465-nucleotide ribosomal RNA is filed under the name uncultured bacterium. RNAcentral describes it as "partial 16S ribosomal RNA". It matches the Rfam family "Bacterial small subunit ribosomal RNA", at positions 28 to 507 of the family's 1533-position model. The record is from RNAcentral.